GGCAACGGAUACCUAGGCUCUCGCAUCGAUGAAGAACGUAGCGAAAUGCGAUACUUGGUGUGAAUUGCAGAAUCCCGUGAACCAUCGAGUUUUUGAACGUAAGUUGCGCCCGAAGCCAUUAGGCCGAGGGCACGUCUGCCUGGGCGUCACAC
This 152-nucleotide ribosomal RNA is filed under the name Scrophularia koraiensis. Its description in RNAcentral is "5.8S ribosomal RNA". It matches the Rfam family "5.8S ribosomal RNA". From Rfam's summary of the family: 5.8S ribosomal RNA (5.8S rRNA) is a component of the large subunit of the eukaryotic ribosome. It is transcribed by RNA polymerase I as part of the 45S precursor that also contains 18S and 28S rRNA. Lineage: Eukaryota; Viridiplantae; Streptophyta; Magnoliopsida; Lamiales; Scrophulariaceae. The record is from RNAcentral.